GUGAAUUGCCUAAGUUGGAACUACCGAGGAGGGGGGAACACCCGGACAGUUCGAGAGUUAGUGACGUUGUGUAAGUCGCGUUCCCUCAUGCUUGUAUUUUUGUGUGAAACUAGACAGAAUGAAGGGAAGAUGAGGAGGAUCCGCAAUAGAUUGGGUCUUAAGGGCUUCUGUGGUGUGGAUAGCAAUGGAAUGAGUGGAGGUUUAGCUUUAUAUUGGAGGGAAGAUUGCGCGGUAGAAAUUUUGGAUAAAGAGGACAUAUUUAUUGAUACAAUUAUCAGAGUUCGAGAAGGAGCUGCGCAAUGGAGAGCCACCUUUGUUUAUGGAGAGCCGCGUGUGGAGAACAGACACGUAAUGUGGACAAAGUUAUAG
This 369-nucleotide ribosomal RNA is filed under the name Triticum aestivum (bread wheat). RNAcentral's name for it is "partial small subunit ribosomal RNA". The record is from RNAcentral. Lineage: Eukaryota; Viridiplantae; Streptophyta; Magnoliopsida; Poales; Poaceae.